This 63-nucleotide transfer RNA is filed under the name Sininocellia chikun. RNAcentral describes it as "tRNA-Phe". Lineage: Eukaryota; Metazoa; Arthropoda; Insecta; Raphidioptera; Inocelliidae. The record is from RNAcentral.
AUUCAUAUAGCUUAUACAGAGUAUAAUAUUGAAGAUAUUAAGGAAAAAUUAUUUUUGUGGAUA